UAGGAGUCAGGUUGACUCUGUGAUGGGACUAAGCCCUCAAAGGCUGGGAAGUUGAAUGGCCUUGAAGGGAGCACCCCCAUUUCUUUGAACAUCAAGCAUCAGGGGAAUGUAUCAGAGCACACUGCACUGCUGAUAGGAUUCCCUGCAAGGCCGGUCCUUCCUCCACCCUGUUCACAUGUUAACUUGAGCAACACUCUCUGGAUCAUCAAUUCUCCCCACUCUAAGGCACAGGGAUGUUAAAUAAGCCCACCCCACACUUAAUAAGGGGCAAGAAACCUGCUGCAGGCCUGUGGGCUAACCCAGGCGCAUUUUGCUGCUUCUGUUUGAAGUGGGAGGUGGGGCUAAUGGCCUAAUCAUCACUAUAUGAGAAAAGAGGGUCAGAGGGCUCACUCAAUGGCAGGGCAGUGUCCAGAGCUACCUGUGUCUUGCUCAGUUCUCCGAAUUGUGGAAAGCGCUAGACCAGACUUCCACACUGGCUCAUAUUUCUGAAAAGAGGUCCCUGGAGGACCGAGGCCUCCACCGCAUGGGGUGUGGGAUGUUCCUGGGCCUGGCACAGACAACAGUUCUGGCCACAGGCCCAGCAUUGAAACAGGAGGAGCGGAAGUCUCCUUUCAAGGCUGAGAGGGCAGAGAGGGCGGGAACCACUGCCCAGCGCCAUGCCUUCUGGGGGCGUGGCAUUGGCCCAGAACCAGGACGCUCUCUGAGGGCUGGGGAGCUGCACUUUGGUACCUGAGUUUACCCACCAAGGGCCUUCCCUGGGUUCUGUGGAUUGUCUAGGCAGAGAGAUUGAAUCAGGCAGUGUCCAAAAGCUGGGUUGGAGUUACAUUAAGAUGAGGAAUUCAGGCCGGGCAGACAUAUUUCUCUUCGGAGCUUUAUGUGCCUGUGACAGCUCUUCUUGACAAACCCCUUCCUUCCUUCAUAACUGCAGUGAAAAAAUUCCUCACAUACAUCAGGCUUUGUUAAGCCAGGUGCGGUGGCGCUCGCAUUUAAUCUCAGCCUUGGGGAGGCAAGCCAUUGUCUGAAUUUGAGGCCAGCUUGGUCUACAUAGGGAGUUUUAGGUUAGCUAGGGUGACACAAGUGAGACCCUGUCCUG
This 1093-nucleotide long non-coding RNA is filed under the name Mus musculus (house mouse). Its description in RNAcentral is "long non-coding RNA chr4:117865666-117866759". Lineage: Eukaryota; Metazoa; Chordata; Mammalia; Rodentia; Muridae. The record is from RNAcentral.